UGGCCUUGACAUCCACGGAAUCCUUUAGAGAUAGAGGAGUGCCUUCGGGAACCGUGAGACAGGUGCUGCAUGGCUGUCGUCAGCUCGUGUCGUGAGAUGUUGGGUUAAGUCCCGCAACGAGCGCAACCCUUGUCCUUAGUUGCCAGCGAGUAAAGUCGGGAACUCUAAGGAGACUGCCGGUGACAAACCGGAGGAAGGUGGGGAUGACGUCAAGUCAUCAUGGCCAUUACGGCCAGGGCUACACACGUACUACAAUGGUGGGGACAGAGGGUUGCGAUACCGCGAGGUGGAGCCAAUCCCAGAAACCCCAUCCUAGUCCGGAUCGGAGCCUGCAACUCGACUCCGUGAAGUCGGAAUCGCUAGUAAUCGCGGAUCAGCAUUGCCGCGGUGAAUACGUUCCCGGGCC
RNAcentral lists this ribosomal RNA (406 nucleotides) under uncultured bacterium. RNAcentral describes it as "bacterial SSU rRNA". It matches the Rfam family "Bacterial small subunit ribosomal RNA", at positions 976 to 1380 of the family's 1533-position model. The record is from RNAcentral.